RNAcentral lists this unclassified non-coding RNA (306 nucleotides) under Paenibacillus sophorae. Its description in RNAcentral is "Long range pseudoknot". The record is from RNAcentral. Lineage: Bacteria; Bacillati; Bacillota; Bacilli; Caryophanales; Paenibacillaceae.
AUUGAAGAACAUGACUAUCAGACCAAGUUCCGUAAUGUGGUCAAGUUUCUGAAUGAAGGCGACAAGGUAAAAUGCUCCGUCCGCUUCCGCGGACGCGAAAUUACCCAUGCGAAUAUCGGUCAGAAAAUUCUGGAGCGCGUCAAAUUGGAAGUGGCCGAGAUUUCCGUUGUGGAGCGCCAGCCUAAGCUGGAAGGCCGCAGCAUGAUUAUGAUUUUGGCACCCAAACCAUCUUAACAAGCAGCAUAACUAUUGAGGAGGAAACACAAUGCCUAAAAUGAAAACUCACAGCAGCCUGAAAGGCCGCUU